GAUGAACGCUGGCGGCGUGCUUAACACAUGCAAGUCGAACGGUGAAGCCAAGCUUGCUUGGUGGAUCAGUGGCGAACGGGUGAGUAACACGUGAGCAUCUGCCCUUGACUCUGGGAUAAGCGCUGGAAACGGCGUCUAAUACUGGAUAUGAGCUGUGGCCGCAUGGUCGGCAGUUGGAAAGAAUUUCGGUCAAGGAUGAGCUCGCGGCCUAUCAGCUUGUUGGUGAGGUAAUGGCUCACCAAGGCGUCGACGGGUAGCCGGCCUGAGAGGGUGACCGGCCACACUGGGACUGAGACACGGCCCAGACUCCUACGGGAGGCAGCAGUGGGGAAUAUUGCACAAUGGGCGCAAGCCUGAUGCAGCAACGCCGCGUGAGGGACGACGGCCUUCGGGUUGUAAACCUCUUUUAGCAGGGAAGAAGCGAAAGUGACGGUACCUGCAGAAAAAGCACCGGCUAACUACGUGCCAGCAGCCGCAGUAA
Molecule: ribosomal RNA, 481 nt
Filed under: uncultured bacterium
Lineage: Bacteria
Description: partial 16S ribosomal RNA
Rfam family: Bacterial small subunit ribosomal RNA
Source: RNAcentral